GACUCUGUUAAGAGGGGGGAAAGGUGAGAAAAAAAGAGCUGUUUCUUUCUUGCUUACUUUUUUCUCCUCUGGGGAAUGCACAGCACUUGGGCUCCAAAGCUGUGUUUUUCUUUAGGUUUUGCCUUUUAAUAGGGGUUGAAGAAAGUGGUUAUAGACAUUUGAGGGGAAAUAAAGCCUGUGGUUUAUUAACAGGGCUGGUUUUAAUCAGCAGUGAUUUGACGAGGGUAACAUUGGGGCUGCGAGUGAGAUAACUGAUACUAUGAUUUUCAAUGCUUUUAACCCCAAACUGAAGUCUUGUGGAUUCUCUGACAGAAAUGCGUUUGUUUCCUGGGCCAGGCAGUGGCCAGAGUGUUUGUGAGGAUAGCAUGGGCUGAGGAGAAGAGGGGCGGGGGCUGGGACAGCUGCAGCAGGGACUUCUCUCAGCUGAAAUUCCAGCUGCUAGGAGGCCAGCUCUGCAGACUGGGGCCUCCUUAGACACAGCGUGAAGAGGAGCAAUGCAAGGCAAGCUAUGGCCCUCAUUUGGCCCCUGCAAGUCGGGAUCCAGAUGGACGAGUGCUCGCAAGCCUGUCCUGCAGAACUGAGAGGAGAUCUCAGGUCAGGACAUCUUACACUCUGCAGACACGGGUCACGUUGCUGGGUUACAACAGCUGCUGUAUCUGGGAAAUGCUGAGUCUACAUCACCAGCUCUUUCUGGAGACCCCCAGUAUCUCUAAGAGAUGGAGCUAUGGAAGUCACCUCUUGCUCUGCAUGGCUGAGAAAUGAACACCCAACUCCACAGCUAUAAAGUCCUUUCCUCAGAACAUGAAAUCAUAGUACGGACUCAUGGAGAUGGAUUUGUUAGAGAUGGGUCCUUUUAAUGACGCUAUUCUGGAGCAGUAGGCAUUAAACAUGG
RNAcentral lists this long non-coding RNA (892 nucleotides) under Fukomys damarensis (Damara mole-rat). RNAcentral describes it as "lncRNA (ENSFDAG00000032076.1)". The record is from RNAcentral. Lineage: Eukaryota; Metazoa; Chordata; Mammalia; Rodentia; Bathyergidae.